This 465-nucleotide ribosomal RNA is filed under the name uncultured bacterium. RNAcentral's name for it is "partial 16S ribosomal RNA". It matches the Rfam family "Bacterial small subunit ribosomal RNA", at positions 28 to 507 of the family's 1533-position model. The record is from RNAcentral.
GACGAACGCUGGCGGCGUGCUUAACACAUGCAAGUCGAACGGUGAACUCCGCUUGCGGGGGGAUCAGUGGCGAACGGGUGCGUAACACGUGGGCAACCUGCCCUCAGCUCUGGGAUAACUCCAAGAAAUUGGGGCUAAUACCGGAUAUGACCGCUGACCGCAUGGUCUGGUGGUGGAAAGAUUUAUCGGCUGGGGAUGGGCCCGCGGCCUAUCAGCUUGUUGGUGGGGUAGUGGCCUACCAAGGCGACGACGGGUAGCCGGCCUGAGAGGGUGACCGGCCACACUGGGACUGAGACACGGCCCAGACUCCUAUGGGAGGCAGCAGUGGGGAAUAUUGCGCAAUGGGCGAAAGCCUGACGCAGCGACGCCGCGUGGGGGAUGACGGCCUUCGGGUUGUAAACCUCUUUCAGCAGGGACGAAGCGAAAGUGACGGUACCUGCAGAAGAAGCACCGGCCAACUACGUG